This 72-nucleotide transfer RNA is filed under the name Bacteroidetes bacterium GWE2_42_42. Its description in RNAcentral is "tRNA-Met". It matches the Rfam family "tRNA". From Rfam's summary of the family: Transfer RNA (tRNA) molecules are approximately 80 nucleotides in length. Their secondary structure includes four short double-helical elements and three loops (D, anti-codon, and T loops). Lineage: Bacteria; Pseudomonadati; Bacteroidota. RNAcentral also lists the same sequence under 2 other names. The record is from RNAcentral.
UGCGGGGUGGAGCAGUGGCAGCUCGUCGGGCUCAUAACCCGAAGGCCAGAGGUUCGAGUCCUCUCCCCGCUA